RNAcentral lists this long non-coding RNA (4365 nucleotides) under Vigna radiata. Its description in RNAcentral is "long non-coding RNA (VRAD_LNC002142)". Lineage: Eukaryota; Viridiplantae; Streptophyta; Magnoliopsida; Fabales; Fabaceae. The record is from RNAcentral.
AAAAAAAAAGUGUAUUAACGUACUUAGAGUACAUUCACGUUUUCACUUCCUCCUGAACUCUUAAAACUUUUUUCAUCAUGGUCAGUCAUCGUAUCUCUUUCAUCCACGACUGUACCUUUGCCAAACAGUUUUCGCCACCCAGAUCUCCACGAUAUUGCUGUGAGCUCCCUCCUUUUCUUUCUUCGAUUUUCCAUAUGGUGAGAGGGGUUUUGCUCCUCCUUCUUCCUUCUUCUCAAAUCUGGUUCCUCAUGGAAGAUCUAGCCAGACUCUGUGUAUCCCAUUCUGGUUAGAGUAGUCAUCUCGUGCGAUGCAGGUUUCAUCUUCCUUUCUUUUGCUAUUUUUAAUUUCCCAUUUUUGAUUAAUUGUUAUUUAGUUUUUUGGUUUUGACUUAAGGAUGAAGAAGGUAGUAAAAAUAUUCUUGGUGUGAUGAUAGAUCUGUCGUUUAUUGUUUAUUGUUUAUUUGAAUGGAAGAUUGUUUGGUGAUUUAAGAGGUAGAAUAAGAAUAUAAUGUUGGUUUGUGUGCUAGGUCUGUUAAAUGGGAGUAGAAAAUAUGAAAAUGGUGAUAGAGAAAAGGAAUGGAGUGGGUUUCACUGUAAGAAAUUUUGUUCAUGAAAUUAAACAUGAAUAAAAAUAGAGAACCUGUAGCUUGAAAUAUGCAUGAUGCUUGAAAUAUGGGAAGAUUGAUUUAGUUUUUUAUGAUGAAUUUUGACUCAUUGAUUUUGCUUUGUUUCAGGAAGAUGACGACAAAACUUGUGGAGGAGAGAGGGCUGCAAUUGAAGCAAAUUAAUAUUACGUAAAGGUACAGUGCUUUGAAUUAAUUUAAUAUAAAUGUAAAGGAUAGUGCUUUGAAUUGAUCUUAUUUUAUUUGCAUUUCUAUUUUGAGAAGACCAUUUAAAAGAUUGGAGCUUUGAAAAUAUUCUACGUAUACAUCCAAAUGAAACUUAAAAUAUGCAUAAUAAUUCAUCGUACAUAUCAUGCUUUUGGCACCAUGUAAUAGUUAGCUGAAACAAAUUUUAUUUUAAAUUAUUCAUUGACUACUUUUACUAUUAAAUGAUGACUUUUCUCACACUUUUAAAAUUUAUGUAUACAUUCAUUUUAAAUGCUUUUUGAUAUGAUUUAUUUUUUUAUUUUAUUUCAAAGUUUAAUUUAUAAUUAUUUAGUUAGUUUUUAAGAUUACAAUAGUAAUAAUAAUAAUUAUUAUUAUUAUAUAUAAUCAGUUUUUUCUAUUACUUAAUAAUUGAAUAAUUUUACACUUAGUUAUUAUUGAUUUUUUAUUAUGUAAAUUUAAGUAUUUUUAAAAGUAUUUGCAUACUUAAAUUUAUUAAUAAUUGAAGUAGGUGCACAUGAAAUGAUGACAUGGAAAAAGAAGAAGAAGGUGAUGUUGUGUCAAAGCUUUAUGGCCAUGUUGUUGUCAAGGUUGAGCAGAAACCAAAAAAAUAUAUAAUAUAUAUGGAUAAAUUAUGGACAAAUUAUGCUCAUGUUUUGUUUAGAUUAUUUUUAAAUUUAAAAGUUAAAGUUAAACUUUUGUUUACACUACACAUUUUGUGUUAGACAUCUUACUAUUUAUUUUUCAUUUUGAAAUUUUUAUUAUGUACUUGAGUGGAAUAAUUUGAAAUAUAUAUUAUGUUCUGAAAAAUUUAUUGUAUUUUAAGUUUUUUUUUUUCGUGAUUAAAUAAAUAAAAUUAAAAAAAAAUUUAAAUCUAUUAGGGUCACAACAUAUUUAUAUUUACUACUAUUUUUUUUUAUAAAUAUAUGAAUAUAAAAACAAAUUUAAAUUUAUUAUGUCACAACAUUUCUCGCGGUUACGGAAACUAUUGAGAAAAAUAUCACAUACAGACAAUUAUUUUUGGGGGUUUUCAAAACAGUGCGAUACUAGUAGGGGUUUUCACAAAACUGCUCGUACUAGCAGGGUUUCCACAAAAACCGCUGGUAAUUACCAAGAGUUCCCAAUACCGUCGGUACUUGUAGCGGUUUUCACGAAACCGCUGGUAAUUACCAGGGGUUUUCCAAAACCGUCGGAAAAUAAUUUUUUUUAAAAUAAAAUAAAAUAAUAUAUUUAUAUUUAACAUUCAAUCAAUUUUCCUUUAUUAUGAUCUUAUCCAAUCAAUUUAUAAUCAAUAUACCCUGUUAAUGAACAAAUUCAAUUAAACAAACAAUGAAAUUCAUUUCAUACAUUAAAUUGUGUAAUAAUAUUUAAUACAUUAUUUGUACAUAAAAUUAUCUAAUGUAAAACUAUAUUUGUUGAAGAACUAGGAAAGCUUCACUUAACAAGGAAACCCUCAUAAUUACAUGGUUUCCAUAAGGAGAAACGAUAAUGUGAUAAGUUGAAGAACAUAAGCUCAUGGUUGUAUAGGCCUGUUGAAAAAAAAAAAAAAAUCACUUCAUAACACCAAACCAAUCAAUCCAACUAAAACUGAAAUUAAAUUAUUAUGUUGAAUUAUUUAUGGGUUUUAGAUUUGAAAGCCAAUCCAAUACAAAAUGAAACAAACUUGUUCGUGUUUUAUAUCAUCUAUGUAAAUUUAGAUUAUCUAUCUUCAUUUAGAAAAUUUGUUAUUAUAGCUCAAGCUAAAUUUUGUAGCCUCUCUAAAAUUUGAACACAUGUAGUGAAAAUUAAUUAAAGCAACUUAUAAUUAAUCAAUUAAUUAAAAGCUUACUCUUAUUUUUCUUUCAAUUAUUAAAACGACUUAUACAUAAGCAAUUGUUAACAAGUCCUUGAUGUAAUAGGAUGGAAAACCAAAGAAUGAAACAAGAUUAGUAAAAUAAUGAUUACACUAGGGUAGAGAUUUCAUUAAAUUUGACUACUUGACCACCCACCAGACAAUAAAUCAAGAGAAUAUUGAAUCCAGUCUUUUUAAAAAAUAAUCGAAACCAUAAGAAUAAAAGAAGAAAACCAACCUGCAUAUCACUCUCACAAGAUUUCAAGGCUAGUCCUAUCCUAUUUGCAAUUCUUUUGAGUUGCUCUCUAACUUCAAGAACCUUUCUCUGUGAAAUUUAAGCAGCCAUGUCAACAUCAAUAUUGGAAAGGAAAUGAGUGCAUGGCUGAUGAGUCGUUAUUUCUUGAACUUUACUUAGUUUAUUGCACUUAAAUAAACCAAGGAAUUGUGUUUAAUUGUUUGUUAUUUCCCCGUUUUUUCGAAUUCUGCUUAAUUUGGUCGGAAAUGCGUAUUUUCACUAAUUUGAAUUUUCUGAGUUGAUUAAUUGGAUUUUUGGGUGUAGGGAAAUUUUGGAAACAUCACUUGGAGCAUUAGGAAAGGUGGCGUGAUCAUUCAAGACUCAACAUUUAGUAAUUUCCAUUUUAAUUAAGUUGUAAUUUCGUUUAUUUUAGAAACCUUAAUUAGAUUAGGUGUUUUUGGGUCCUUUUAGUGGCAAUUUUCUAGAAGCCCAUUUUGUAGGACAUGUGGCUUUAGCUAGGGUUUCAUUUUUAGGAGGUGGACCCCACUUUUAGUGAGGAUGCUCGGCAAUUUUAGUGUGUAGCCGACCACUCCUUUUUCCAAGCACACUUUUCACUUCUUCUUGGUUUUCUAGGGUUUUGUAAUGACACUCUCAUGGAGAACUUGCUAUGUGCUUUGAUUGUGACCAUUUGAAUGANCAAAGUUGCAUAUUUUCUUUGUCUCUUGCUUUCAUCUUGGUUAUCUUGGCUUGGUAGAAGUAGAAAANCGUCCCAUUCCCCAUCUCUUUUCUUGUUCUUUGAAGUUGGAAGCAUGAACUUGNGAGCUUUUCUUUGCAUUUUCAUGGUGGUUCUUGAGUUUGAAUGAAAGUNUAUUUCGUUUUCCUCUUCAUUUGCUGCAAUACUCACGGUUUUCAUUUCACUUAACUUGGUUGGAUAAUGAAAAUGGANUUCUUGUUGAGUUUUNGNUUGAAGGAAGCUUAAGUUGAUGUGUNGGUGUUGUGGNUUGGACUCUUUCUUCUUNUUUUUCGGNUUUAAUGUUUGAAGCAAGAUUACAACCAGAAUUUUNUGUUGUUUAUGGNGGCUGGACNUGCUGGACUUGAAGGGUAGGGAUUCAUUUUCGUUUUUUACUAAAAGCUUGAAGAAAUGGGAAGGUUUGGUUGGGUCAAAUGAGUAGAAGUUUGAGUUUAUCAUUCUUGUGUUAAUUUGGCAUUUGAACUUUGGUCUCUUGGGUGUAUGCUCGGUGGAACGGAGGAAGAAAACAUGAAUGAUGUGUGUUGGUAGAAGAGAAAAACCGAAAAUGGAGAAAGGAAGGAGGAGAGAAGGUGCAUUUAUGUUUUUACCAUUUUUGGGCAAACACAUAUGAUGCUUGUUUUGACUAAGGGAAUGUUUCCACUUUUGGUUUGUCUCUUGAACAUGUUUCUGCCGAGAAUUGAUAUGGUGAAGGGAGAUGUUUGUGUUUGAUUUUUCAAUUGUCU